This 3623-nucleotide ribosomal RNA is filed under the name Termitomyces heimii. Its description in RNAcentral is "eukaryotic LSU rRNA". The stretch from base 408 to 3623 matches the Rfam family "Eukaryotic large subunit ribosomal RNA". The record is from RNAcentral. Lineage: Eukaryota; Fungi; Basidiomycota; Agaricomycetes; Agaricales; Lyophyllaceae.
ACAACUUUCAGUAAUGGAUCUCUUGGCUCUUGCAUUGAUGAAAAAUGCAGCAAAAUGUGAUAAAUAAUGUGAAUUGCAGAAUUCAGUGAAUCAUCAAAUCUUUGAACACACCUUGUGCUUCUUGGUAUUAUGAGGAGCAUUCUUGGUAUUAUGAGGAGCAUGCCUGUUUAAGUGUCAUUAAAUUCUCAAUCUUAACCAGCUUUUGUGAGUUGGUUUAGGCUUGGAUGUGGGGGUUUUUGCAGGCUUCUUAAGAAGUCAGCUCCCUUUAAAUGCAUUAGUGGAACCCUUUAUUGGCCUGUUUCUGGUGUAAUAAUUAUUUACAUUGUGUGCAGUCAACUUUAUUCUAAUGGGCUUUUCUGCUUCUAACUUGUACUUCCUCUUUAUUGAGGAAGAUGCUUUUGACCAUUUGACCUCAAAUCAGGUAGGACUAUCUGCUGAACUUAAGCAUAUCAAUAAGUAAAGAAAAAGAAACUAAUAAGGAUUCCUCUAGUAAUUGUGAGUGAAGCAGGAAAAGCUCAAAUUUAAAAUCUAGUAGUCUCUGGCUGCCUGAAUUGUAAUCUAGAGAAGCAUUAUCCAUGCUGGACUGUGUAUAAGUGUCCUGGAAUGGACCAUUAUAGAGAGUGAGAAUCCCAUCUUUGACAUGGACUCCCAGGGCUUUGUGAUAUACUCUCAAAGAGUUGAGGUUAUUUGGGAAUGCAGCUCUAAAUGGAUGAUAAAUUCCAUCUAAAGCUAAAUAUUGGCAAAAGACCAAUAGCAAACAAGUACCAUGAGGGAAAGAUGAAAAGAACUUUAGAAAGAGAGUUAAACAGUACAUGAAAUUGCUGAAAGAGAAAUGCUUGAAGUCAGUUGCAUUAGCUGGAGAUUAAUCUUGCUUUUCUACUUGGCUUACUCCCCAGUUGAUGGGUCAGCAUCAGUUUUGACCAAUGGAUAAAGGCUUAGGGGAAUGUAGCACCUCUGGGUAUAUUAUAGCCCUUAGUCAUAUACAUUGGUUGGGACUGAAGAACUCAGCACUUCUGCUUAGGAUGCUGGCAUAAUGGCUUUAAGCAACCUGUCUUGAAAUAUGGACCAAGGAGUCUAACAUGCCCACAAGUGUUUGGGUGGAAAAUCCAAGCACAUAAUAAAAGUAAAAAGUUGAGAUCUCUGUUAUGGGGAGCAUCAAUGCCCAGACCAGACCUUUUGUAAUGGAUCCAUGGUAGAGCAUGUAUGUUGGAACCCAAAAGAUGGUGAACUAUGCCUGAAUAUGGUGAAGCUAGAGGAAACUCUGGUGGAAGCUCAUAGUGAUUCUAAUAUACAAAUUAAUCAUCAAAUUUGGGUAUAGGGGUGAAAAACUAAUUAAACCAUCUAGUAGCUAGUUCCUGCCAAAGUUUCCCUCAGAAUAGUAGAAACUUGUAUCAAAUUUAUGUGGUAAAGCAAAUAAUUAGAGGCCUUGGGGUUGUAACAACCUUAACUUAUUCUCAAACUUUAAAUAUAUAAGAAUGAGCUGUCUCUUAGUUGAAUCACUUAGUGAUUGAGAGUUUCUAGUGGGCCAUUUUUGGUAAGCAGAACUGAUGAUGUGGAAUGCACCAAACAUGAGGUUAAGGUGCCAGAAUUCAUGCUCAUCAGAUACCACAAAAGGUGUUAAUUCAUCUAGACAGCAAGAUGGUGGCCAUGGACUUUGGAAUCCGCUAAGAAGUGUAUAACAACUCACUUGCUGAAUGAACUAGCCCUGAAAAUGGAUAGCACUUAAGCAUGAUACCCAUACCUUGCUGUCAGCAUUUAAGUGAUGUGCUGAUGAGUAGGCAGGUGUAGAGGUCAGUGAAGAAGCCUUGGCAGUGAUGCUGGAUGAAACAGCCUCUAAUGCAGAUCUUGGUGAUAGUAGCAAAUAUUCAAGUGAGAAUCUUGAAGACUGAAGUGGAGAAAGGUUCCAUGGUAAUAGCAGUUAGACAUGGGUCAGUCAAUCCUAAGAGAUAAGGAAGCUCCAUUUCAAAGUGCAUAAUUCUUUGUGCCACCUAUCAAAAGGGAAUCCAGUUAAAAUUCCAGAACCAAGAUGUAGAUCUUUAAUGGCAACAUAACUAAAUUUGGAGACACUGGCAGGGGCCCCAGAAAGAGUUAUCUUUUCUCCUUAACAGCUUAUAACCCUGAAAUUGAUUUGUUCAGAGCUAGGAUUCAAUGGCUAGUAGAGCACAACACUUCUGUUGUGUCUAGUGCAUUCUUGACAGUUCUUGAAAAUCCAAUAAAAUGAAUAAUUUUCACACCUAGUUAUACUCAUAACUGCAGCAGGUCUCUAAAGUGAACAGCCUCUAGUUAAUAGAACAAUGUAAAUAAGGGAAGUCGGCAAAAUAGAUCUGUAACUUUGGGAAAAGGAUUGGCUCUAAGGGUUGGGUGUGUUGAGCUUUGGUAAAAAGCCUUGGAACCCAGCUAGGACUGCUUAGGGGGCAACUUCUUCAUGGACCUGGCUAGGACCUGACAGUGGAUGACCUUGGCUGCCUUUCAGGGCUAAUUAAAACAUAGCAUUGCAAUGGCUAAAAAAUAGUGUUAAUGCAAUGUGAUUUCUGCCUAGUGCUCUAAAUGUUAAAGUGAAGAAAUUCAACCAAGUGUGGGUAAAUGGUGGAAGUAACUAUGACUCUCUUAAGGUAGCCAAAUGCCUCAUCAUCUAAUUAGUGAUGUGCAUGAAUGGAUUAACAAGAUUCCCACUGUCCCUAUCUACUAUCUAGCAAAACCACAGCCAAGAAAACAGGCUUGGCAGAAUCAGCAGGAAAAGAAGACUCUAUUGAGCUUGACUCUAGUUUGACAUUGUAAAAAGACAUAGAGUGUGUAGAAUAAGUGAGAGCUUUGGUGCUAUUGAAAUACCACUACCUUUAUUGUUUUUUUACUUAUUCAAUAAGGUGGAGUUGGGAUUAAUAGUCCCACCUUUUAGCUUCAAGGUCCUUUAUGGGCUGAUCUAGGUUGAAGACAUUGUCAGGUGGGGAAUUUGGCUGGGGUGGCACAUCUAUUAAAAGAUAACACAGGUGUUCUAAGGGGGACUCAUUGAGAACAGAAAUCUCAAAUAGAACAAAAGGGUAAAAGUUCCCUUGAUUUUGAUUUUUAGUGUGAAUACAAACCAUGAAAGUGUGGCCUAUCAAUCCUUUAGUUCCUUGGAAUUUGAGGCUAGAGGUGCCAGAAAAGUUACCACAGGGAUAAUUGGCUUGUGGCAGCUAAGCAUUCAUAAUAACAUUGCUUUUUGAUCCUUUGAUGUUGGCUCUUUCUAUCAUACUAAAGCAGAAUUUGGUAAGCAUUGGAUUGUUUACCCACUAAUAGAGAACAUGAGCUGGGUUUAGACUAUUGUGAGAUAGGUUAGCUUUACCCUACUGAUAGAGUGUUAUUGUAAUAGUAAUUGAACUUAAUACAAGAGGAACUAUUCAUUCAGAUAUUUAGUAUUUGUGCCUAUCCAAUUGGGCAAUGGCAUAAAGCUAUCAUCUACUGGAUUAUAGCUGAAUGCCUCUAAACCAGAAUCCAUGCUAGAAACAAUGAUGUUGGUUCCGCAUAUUUGACUUGAGUUGAAAUAGAGCUUUGCUCAUGAAUCAAAUUAGGUGGACUUGGUUGUCAUGGGCAGAAAUGCUUUAGCAGCUUAUCUACAAAUUUGCAAUCAUAAUAUGGGCAAGGGU